This 85-nucleotide non-coding RNA is filed under the name Kribbella flavida. RNAcentral describes it as "ZTP sequence". It matches the Rfam family "ZMP/ZTP riboswitch aptamer (pfl RNA motif)". Rfam says of the family: Previously known as pfl RNA. ZMP is also known as AICAR. The record is from RNAcentral. Lineage: Bacteria; Bacillati; Actinomycetota; Actinomycetes; Propionibacteriales; Kribbellaceae. RNAcentral also lists the same sequence under 1 other name.
UGUGGCCGCCGCGACUGGCGAAGGUGGAGUACCACCGGGGAGCGGCUGCCGGACCUGUUAGGCGUCGUCCGCCUGGGCGCCUCCG